Molecule: ribosomal RNA, 120 nt
Filed under: Rhizobium leguminosarum bv. trifolii
Lineage: Bacteria; Pseudomonadati; Pseudomonadota; Alphaproteobacteria; Hyphomicrobiales; Rhizobiaceae
Description: partial 16S ribosomal RNA
Rfam family: Bacterial small subunit ribosomal RNA
Source: RNAcentral
AAGGUAGUGCGCUAACCGCAAGGAGGCAGCUAACCACGGUAGGGUCAGCGACUGGGGUGAAGUCGUAACAAGGUAGCCGUAGGGGAACCUGCGGCUGGAUCACCUCCUUUCUAAGGAAGC